Molecule: ribosomal RNA, 406 nt
Filed under: uncultured bacterium
Lineage: Bacteria
Description: bacterial SSU rRNA
Rfam family: Bacterial small subunit ribosomal RNA
Source: RNAcentral
GAAUAUUGGACAAUGGGCGGAAGCCUGAUCCAGCAACGCCGCGUGAGGGAUGACGGCCUUCGGGUUGUAAACCUCUUUCAGUACCGACGAAGUCCUUCGGGGUGACGGUAGGUACAGAAGAAGCACCGGCCAACUACGUGCCAGCAGCCGCGGUAAUACGUAGGGUGCGAGCGUUGUCCGGAAUUAUUGGGCGUAAAGGGCUCGUAGGCGGUUUGUCGCGUCGGGAGUGAAAACCAUGGGCUUAACUCAUGGCUUGCUUUCGAUACGGGCAGACUAGAGGUAUGUAGGGGAGAACGGAAUUCCUGGUGUAGCGGUGAAAUGCGCAGAUAUCAGGAGGAACACCGGUGGCGAAGGCGGUUCUCUGGGCAUUACCUGACGCUGAGGAGCGAAAGUGUGGGGAGCGAAC